UACAGAGGUCCCAAGCGUUGUUCGGAUUCACUGGGCGUAAAGGGUGCGUAGGCGGACUAUUAAGUCAGGGGUGAAAUCCUGGAGCUCAACUCCAGAACUGCCUUUGAUACUGAGGAUCUUGAGUUCGGGAGAGGUGAGUGGAACUGCGAGUGUAGAGGUGAAAUUCGUAGAUAUUCGCAAGAACACCAGUGGCGAAGGCGGCUCACUGGCCCGAUACUGACGCUGAGGCACGAAAGCGUGGGGAGCAAACAGG
RNAcentral lists this ribosomal RNA (253 nucleotides) under uncultured bacterium. RNAcentral describes it as "partial 16S ribosomal RNA". It matches the Rfam family "Bacterial small subunit ribosomal RNA", at positions 524 to 776 of the family's 1533-position model. The record is from RNAcentral.